RNAcentral lists this ribosomal RNA (403 nucleotides) under Fusobacteriota bacterium. RNAcentral's name for it is "Fusobacteria bacterium partial 16S ribosomal RNA". It matches the Rfam family "Bacterial small subunit ribosomal RNA", at positions 355 to 776 of the family's 1533-position model. The record is from RNAcentral. Lineage: Bacteria; Fusobacteriati; Fusobacteriota.
GGGGGAAUAUUGCACAAUGGAGGGAACUCUGAUGCAGCGACGCCGCGUGAACGAAGAAGGCUUUCGAGUCGUAAAGUUCUUUUAUAUGGGAAGAUAAUGACGGUACCAUAAGAAAAAGCCCCGGCUAACUACGUGCCAGCAGCCGCGGUAAUACGUAGGGGGCUAGCGUUGUCCGGAAUCACUGGGCGUAAAGGGUUCGCAGGCGGAAAUGCAAGUCAGGGGGAAAAGGCAGUAGCUUAACUACUGUAAGCAUUUGAAACUGCAUAUCUUGAGAAGAGUAGAGGUAUGUGGAAUUUUUGGUGUGGCGGUGAAAUGCGUUGAUAUUAAAAAGAAUACCGGUGGCGAAGGCGCAUUACUGGGCUCAUUCUGACGCUGAGGAACGAAAGCGUGGGUAGCAAACAGG